UAAAAAAAAGUUCAUCAUUUUGUAUUGUUUAAAAAUGAAGUGGUUGACAGGAUAAUUAGACUGUGACGUGUGGUAUGGCACGGGUAUCUCAUAUUGGCAUACAGAGAUCAGUUUCUAACAGUAGGAACUGAUGAAAUUUUUUAUC
Molecule: non-coding RNA, 145 nt
Organism: Gossypium raimondii (Peruvian cotton)
Lineage: Eukaryota; Viridiplantae; Streptophyta; Magnoliopsida; Malvales; Malvaceae
Source: Rfam